GUGAACGUUACAAACUGUUGCCUCGGCGGGAUCUCUGCCCCGGGUGCGUCGCAGCCCCGGACCAAGGCGCCCGCCGGAGGACCAACCAAAACUCUUAUUGUAUACCCCCUCGCGGGUUUUUUACUAUCUGAGCCAUCUCGGCGCCCCUCGUGGGCGUUUCGAAAAUGAAUCAAAACUUUCAACAACGGAUCUCUUGGUUCUGGCAUCGAUGAAGAACGCAGCGAAAUGCGAUAAGUAAUGUGAAUUGCAGAAUUCAGUGAAUCAUCGAAUCUUUGAACGCACAUUGCGCCCGCCAGUAUUCUGGCGGGCAUGCCUGUCCGAGCGUCAUUUCAACCCUCGAACCCCUCCGGGGGGUCGGCGUUGGGGAUCGGCCCUUUACGGGGCCGGCCCCGAAAUACAGUGGCGGUCUCGCCGCAGCCUCUCCUGCGCAGUAGUUUGCACACUCGCAUCGGGAGCGCGGCGCGUCCACAGCCGUUAAACACCCCAAACUUCUGAAAUGUUGACCUCGGAUCAGGUAGGAAUACCCGCUGAACUUAAGCAUAUCAAUAAGCGGAGG
This 556-nucleotide ribosomal RNA is filed under the name Trichoderma virens. Its description in RNAcentral is "eukaryotic LSU rRNA". The stretch from base 174 to 327 matches the Rfam family "5.8S ribosomal RNA". Lineage: Eukaryota; Fungi; Ascomycota; Sordariomycetes; Hypocreales; Hypocreaceae. The record is from RNAcentral.